RNAcentral lists this ribosomal RNA (244 nucleotides) under uncultured bacterium. RNAcentral describes it as "partial 16S ribosomal RNA". It matches the Rfam family "Bacterial small subunit ribosomal RNA", at positions 791 to 1035 of the family's 1533-position model. The record is from RNAcentral.
UAGUCCACCCCGUAAACGUUGGGAACUAGUUGUGGGGUCCAUUCCACGGAUUCCGUGACGCAGCUAACGCAUUAAGUUCCCCGCCUGGGGAGUACGGCCGCAAGGCUAAAACUCAAAGGAAUUGACGGGGACCCGCACAAGCGGCGGAGCAUGCGGAUUAAUUCGAUGCAACGCGAAGAACCUUACCAAGGCUUGACAUAUAGAGGAAACGUCUGGAAACAGUCGCCCCGCAAGGUCUCUAUAC